Molecule: ribosomal RNA, 253 nt
Filed under: uncultured bacterium
Lineage: Bacteria
Description: partial 16S ribosomal RNA
Rfam family: Bacterial small subunit ribosomal RNA
Source: RNAcentral
UACGUAGGGGGCAAGCGUUAUCCGGAUUUACUGGGUGUGAAGGGAGCGUAGGCGGCUGUGUAAGCCAGAAGUGAAAGCCCGGGGCUCAACUCCGGGACUGCUUUUGGAACUACAUGGCUUGAUUGCAGGAGAGGCAAGUGGAAUUCCUAGUGUAGCGGUGAAAUGCGUAGAUAUUAGGAGGAACACCAGUGGCGAAGGCGGCUUACUGGACUGUAAAUGACGCUGAGGCUCGAAAGCGUGGGGAGCAAACAGG